This is a long non-coding RNA of Tarenaya hassleriana, 1292 nucleotides long. RefSeq lists it as uncharacterized. The record is from RefSeq and is a predicted model, not a curated record. The transcript is spliced from 2 exons. Lineage: Eukaryota; Viridiplantae; Streptophyta; Magnoliopsida; Brassicales; Cleomaceae.
GCGGAAUCAAUGGAAGUAAAGUGAUGUGUUGUUGUUUUUUUGUUCACUCGCGCUUCAUCUGGCGCGUGAGUCUCCAGCUUCCUCCGCCGGAGAAUUCGCGCAAUGACGACGAGCAGCCAAUUCACGGCCUUCGAUGGCGUUCGUCAACGGCAACUCGCUCUUCACUCUCACCGUCUUCACUUUAUUCCUCUUCUCCAGCCUCGUCGCUCUGGGUCUCAAGCAGGACAUUCUCCUCAGCAUUACGGCGUCGUUUCACCUCCCGGCAUGGCUCGAGCCCGUGGUCUACGACUUCAACAAGUCGGUUUUUCGGUUGGGCAUGCUGGUUUCGGGUGUGGGUUCGGCUUUUGGAUGUGGGUUUUCUCCUGACGGCACGGCUCUGGUGAAUAUUGUUCAGAUCAAGCUUGGAACUUUGGCUUGUGGAAGUGGGCACACUUAUCCAAGCUCCUGGUAUUGGUGGCCAAUAUGCUGAUUCUGCAUUCGGAUUCUCACAGAUCUCUCUUGAUGUCUUUAGAUUCUGAUAUUUAUGUGGGGUUUAGGGGAUUUCCCAAGACGGGAAUAUGCUUUAAGGUGUGAGAUUUCAGUUGCUGAAGAUUUGUUGGUGGGAUGAUGUCUCAGGAUGAUAGGGAUUCGGCGUUGCGUUAUGUGGACUAAUCACCUUUCAGAUGGAAACUUAUUCGGUUUGAUUGCUACUUGUUGAACUCUGGAAUACACACGCUAUAGAUUAUGCUUGGAUCUGAUUCUUGCUUGGCAUGAUAGGUGGAGUUCAUGUCAGAUAGCCUGAGUUAGCCGCCAUAGUUGAAAGAAUUGUCGGUUGAUGUUGCAUAGAAGAAUCUGUCUAUGUUUCUUGUUUGGAAUUCUAGCAUGCACUUGGAUGAUGAUUCCACUAAUCCGAAGUUUUCGUGUUCUAGAUUUCGUCUGAUGUUUCUUUGCGGUAAUAGCUCGCCCGAUUCUGUCGAGGGUAGACCCGGUUUUCGCUAGCCGACUUCAAUGGCAGAAGGAAAAACCAAUCGUCCAUCUGUUGGUGCGUUCAUUCAGUUUGUUCAUCAAGAGUUCUUGAGCAAAACUCGGAUAUCGCAAUGACCAUUCCUGAACGCCAUUAAGGUUACGAGUGCAGAGCUUAGACUCUGCCUUUGAAGCUGGCAGAGACCAGAAAUGGUGAAGCUACUUGUCCCCAUCCUGUGUACGAAUCUUAUGAAUAGAUGUACGUAUGAUUUCACCUUUGGGCGAUAACGAGCUCCUUCUGUCGCAUGUUUUCUCGUAUGAAAUCAAUACAACGACGAUAAUUCUGCGUA